This 780-nucleotide ribosomal RNA is filed under the name Triticum aestivum (bread wheat). Its description in RNAcentral is "partial small subunit ribosomal RNA". The record is from RNAcentral. Lineage: Eukaryota; Viridiplantae; Streptophyta; Magnoliopsida; Poales; Poaceae.
AUGGCGCGACCGAGCAGGCGAGGAGGGAGACUAGCUAGGAGUUUCCCCCCUCUCUAUCUCUCUCUUGGGGGGCGCCGCCCUUCAUCUGCUCCCGCGAUGGCGCCGGAUCCACAUCCACAGCCACGGCGCCGGCACCCAUGGAGUGACCGUGUGCUUCUUCUCCAUGGACAUGGAGCUCCCACAACACACCAUGGAAGGCCUGGAGCUCCUUCUCACGGUGCACCGCGUACAGGAGGGAAGACCAACGCUCCUCCGGAUCUGCUUCUUCCCGGGUCGCCGUUGCUCCACGGAAGGCGGAAAGUCAUAGAAGAUGGCUCAUUAGCUUCAAACAGAUCAGUGGUUACUGAAUCAGUCUCAAAAUCUUGUUCCUCCGCAGAAGUGAAAGAUGAAGAUGUUGCAAUUGCAGUUGUGAUUGAUGCAGCUGAACUUAAAUGGGAAGAGCAGUCAUUUAGGAGAGGACAAGCUCCUGGAAGGUUUACAUCAGGACGCCAUAAUGGCCAUGGAUCAUCAGAAAGGGAGGCACCUCCACCCGGCUAUGUGUGCCGCAGCUACGGAGUUCCAGGCCAUUUCAUUCAACAUUGCCCACAGGAAAACCAGACGCCUCCACCUGGAUAUACCUGCUACAGAUGUCGGGUUCCAGGGCAUUUUAUUCAGCAUUGCCCAACCAUUGGCGGUUCCAGGGCAGUUUAUAUUUACUGUGAUACUCUGAACAUCAGGACCAUGUGGACUAAACUUGCAUGUGGGUGCACCAAGGCGAAGGUCCCACUCAUCAAGGGAUAA